RNAcentral lists this ribosomal RNA (440 nucleotides) under uncultured bacterium. RNAcentral describes it as "partial 16S ribosomal RNA". It matches the Rfam family "Bacterial small subunit ribosomal RNA", at positions 338 to 795 of the family's 1533-position model. The record is from RNAcentral.
CCUACGGGUGGCAGCAGUGGGGAAUAUUGCACAAUGGGGGAAACCCUGAUGCAGCGACGCCGCGUGAAGGAAGAAGUAUUUCGGUAUGUAAACUUCUAUCAGCAGGGAAGAAAAUGACGGUACCUGAAUAAGAAGCCCCGGCUAACUACGUGCCAGCAGCCGCGGUAAUACGUAGGGGGCAAGCGUUAUCCGGAUUUACUGGGGGGAAAGGGAGCGUAGGCGGCGAUGCAAGUCAGAAGUGAAAGCCCGGGGCUCAACUCGGGGACUGCUUUUGAAACUGGAUGGCUAGAGUGCAGGAGAGGCGAGUGGAAUUCCUGGUGUAGCGGUGAAAUGCGUAGAGAUUAGGAGGAACACCAGUGGCGAAGGCGGCUUGCUGGACUGUAAAUGACGCUGAGGCGCGAAAGCGUGGGGAGCAAACAGGAUUAGAUACCCCAGUAGUC